RNAcentral lists this ribosomal RNA (469 nucleotides) under uncultured bacterium. RNAcentral describes it as "partial 16S ribosomal RNA". It matches the Rfam family "Bacterial small subunit ribosomal RNA", at positions 27 to 507 of the family's 1533-position model. The record is from RNAcentral.
GGACGAACGCUGGCGGCGUGCUUAACACAUGCAAGUCGAACGGAAAGGCCCUGCUUUUGUGGGGUGCUCGAGUGGCGAACGGGUGAGUAACACGUGAGUAACCUGCCCUUGACUUUGGGAUAACUUCAGGAAACUGGGGCUAAUACCGGAUAGGAGCUCCUGCUGCAUGGUGGGGGUUGGAAAGUUUCGGCGGUUGGGGAUGGACUCGCGGCUUAUCAGCUUGUUGGUGGGGUAGUGGCUUACCAAGGCUUUGACGGGUAGCCGGCCUGAGAGGGUGACCGGCCACAUUGGGACUGAGAUACGGCCCAGACUCCUACGGGAGGCAGCAGUGGGGAAUAUUGCACAAUGGGCGGAAGCCUGAUGCAGCAACGCCGCAUGCGGGAUGACGGCCUUCGGGUUGUAAACCGCUUUCGCCUGUGACGAAGCGUGAGUGACGGUAAUGGGUAAAGAAGCACCGGCUAACUACGUG